Molecule: non-coding RNA, 2567 nt
Organism: Phalacrocorax carbo (great cormorant)
Lineage: Eukaryota; Metazoa; Chordata; Aves; Suliformes; Phalacrocoracidae
Source: RefSeq, a predicted model, not a curated record
GGGAAGGCGGAAGCGGGGUCGGUGCGGAGAUGGCCGGUGCGGGCUGGGCCCCGCCGCGCCUGGACGAGUUCAUCCUCACUGAACGCCUCGGUGCCGGCACCUACGCCACCGUCUACAAGGCCUACAGGAAGAGGGAUGCACGUGAGGUGGUGGCCAUCAAGUGUGUGAGCAAGAGGAGCCUCAACCGGGUGUCGGUGGAGAACCUGCUGACAGAGAUUGAGAUCCUGAAGACCAUCCGCCACCCACACAUCGUGGAGCUCAAGGACUUCCAGUGGGACAGUGACCACAUCUACCUGAUCAUGGAGUUCUGUGCUGGGGGGGACCUCUCCCGCUUCAUCCGGAUGCGCAGGAUCCUCCCCGAGAAGGUGGCACGCAUCUUCCUGCAGCAGCUUGCCUGCGCCCUGAAGUUCCUCCACGACUGCAACAUCUCCCACCUGGACCUCAAGCCACAGAACAUCCUCCUGAGUGCCCUGGAGAACCCCCAGCUGAAGCUGGCAGAUUUUGGGUUUGCGCAGCACAUGUCGCCAUGGGAUGAGAAACACGUUCUGCGGGGCUCCCCACUCUACAUGGCCCCUGAGAUGGUGUGCCGCCAGCAGUACGAUGCCCGGGUGGACUUGUGGUCCGUGGGUGUCAUCCUUUAUGAAGCACUUUUCGGAAGGCCACCCUUCGCCUCCCGCUCCUUUGCUGAGCUGGAGGAGAAGAUCCGCAGCACCCAGGCUGUCGAGCUGCCCAGCCGGCCCCUGCUCUCCCCGGAGUGCCGGGAUCUUUUACGACAGCUCUUGGAGAGGGAUCCGAUGAAACGUAUCUCUUUUGAGCACUUCUUUGCCCACCCUUUUGUGGAUAUGGAGCACAUCCCCAGCCCUGAGAGCCUCUGCAAGGCGACUGACCUGGUGGUGGAGGCAGUGAAGAAGGAUCAGGAAGGGGACGCCUCCGCUGCCCUCUCACUCUACUGCAAAGCCCUGGAGUAUUUUGUGCCAGCUCUGCACUAUGAAAGUGAUGCUCGCCGGAAAGAAGCCAUCCGUGCCAAGGUGGGGCAAUACAUCUCCCGAGCAGAGGAGCUGAAGGCAUUGGUCACCUCCAGCAGCAAGAACCUCCUGCAGCAAGAGAACCCGUCCAGAGCGCUCCUUAAAGAGAUGGCCAAGGACAAGCCUCGGCUCUGCACUGCGCUGGAAAUGGCUUCUGCUGCCAUUGCUAAGGAGGAGGAAGGCAAAGAUGACAGUGACACCCUGGAGCUCUACCAGCAGAGCCUGGGGGAGCUGCUGCUCCUCCUGGCUGCGGAACCUGCAGGCAGGCGACGGGAGCUGCUCCACGCAGAGGGGCUUUCCUCUCUUUCUGCCAGAUCCAGAACCUGAUGGCCCGAGCUGAGUACCUGAAAGAUCAGAUGAAGAUGCGGGAGGCGCAGUCUAUGGGCAAGGAGGCACUGGCAGAGCCUGUCCGGAGCACCUGUACCUUGCAGUGAUGACAGGAGCCGGCCGGCAGGAUGCUGCUCACUGCCCUGGCACUGCCAUGCAAAGAGAUGCCGUCAGCGGUGGGGAGGGAAGACAAGGCUUUCAUCCUGACUGCAUCGGGACAACCACCUCAGGGGUUCACCCUUGGGCUUCCACCCCCAGAGGGUCCCACAGGUGGGUCCGCAGGGCCAUCUGCCUCUCUCCCUGGGUGCUGGCAUCAACUCUUUCCUGACAGGCAGAGUUCCCUCCCAGCCCUGCCUCGACUGUCUGCUGCCACAGCCUCCCCUGACCAUGGCGGGCAGGUUAUUCCACUCUAAUUCCCUCCCCUGGCUCCAUAGGACUAGGUAUUUUUAUCCUGGCGCCAGGCUCCGGCAGAAUAUCCCCCCUGCCAAUCACAUAUGUCUCUUGCCUUUUCGGCUGGAUGUUUCUUCCACCUCCCAUAUUCUUCUGGGGGAACCCUGAGCAUAUGCACAGCCCAGACCCACAGAACCAUGCUGGUAGCUCCAGGCUGUUGGUAACGGCAGCAGGCAGGGGGUUGGGGGUGCUUCCUGCGCCUGCCCUCUCCUGUGCCUUUCUCGCCCAGCAACUACCUCUCUGCACCCACCGUCGCCCGCCCAGCCUGGAGCACCCAGUUGCACUGUCCCAGCCCAGCCGUACCUCCCUUUCACCGCUGGAGCAUUGAGGUCAAGGCUUUUUCUUCCUAAACCUGCCUGUACUGGAGUCUGGCAGGUGCUGAUUGUAUUCAUCGUUUGUGUCAUGAGGUGUUACCGGUGCUCAGCAGGGACAACUGAUUGUGCGUGCUCCUCCAUGGGUAUAGUCGUCAAAUAAAACAGAUGAGCAGAAAUCAAUCACCUUCAGGGACAGAGUCAUGUGGCUGAAAACAGCGAUACUUCCCUGAAGGCAGAGCCUGGGCAUCCUGUCUGCUCUGCUUCUCAGGGCUCUGACAACCUGAAUAUCCAAAUUAUAUUCCCAGGAGCCUCCCCAGCCCUCCGGAGGUCAUGUAUCUGGGGUGGGGAGGUCUGCCUGCCCUGCAAAGCAAGGGACUUGUCUCAAAAUCUGCUGUAUUUCAAGGGAAUGUAAUUUAUUGUCUUUAAUAAACACUUACUUUGAUUUCUCCAA